GACGAACCGUCCAAACGUUAUUCGGAAUCACUGGGCUUAAAGGGUGCGUAGGCGGCGCGGAAAGUUGGGUGUGAAAUCCCUCGGCUCAACCGAGGAACUGCGCCCAAUACUACCGUGCUCGAGGGAGAUAGAGGUGAGCGGAACUUAGGGUGGAGCGGUGAAAUGCGUUGAUAUCCUAAGGAACACCGGUGGCGAAAGCGGCUCACUGGAUCUCUCCUGACGCUGAGGCACGAAAGCUAGGGUAGCGAACGGG
RNAcentral lists this ribosomal RNA (253 nucleotides) under uncultured bacterium. Its description in RNAcentral is "partial 16S ribosomal RNA". It matches the Rfam family "Bacterial small subunit ribosomal RNA", at positions 524 to 776 of the family's 1533-position model. The record is from RNAcentral.